This 73-nucleotide transfer RNA is filed under the name Bacillus amyloliquefaciens. RNAcentral describes it as "tRNA-Glu". It matches the Rfam family "tRNA". Rfam says of the family: Transfer RNA (tRNA) molecules are approximately 80 nucleotides in length. Their secondary structure includes four short double-helical elements and three loops (D, anti-codon, and T loops). Further hydrogen bonds mediate the characteristic L-shaped molecular structure. tRNAs have two regions of fundamental functional importance: the anti-codon, which is responsible for specific mRNA codon recognition, and the 3' end, to which the tRNAs corresponding amino acid is attached (by aminoacyl-tRNA synthetases). tRNAs cope with the degeneracy of the genetic code in two manners: having more than one tRNA (with a specific anti-codon) for a particular amino acid; and 'wobble' base-pairing, i.e. permitting non-standard base-pairing at the 3rd anti-codon position. The record is from RNAcentral. Lineage: Bacteria; Bacillati; Bacillota; Bacilli; Caryophanales; Bacillaceae. RNAcentral also lists the same sequence under 29 other names.
GGCCCGUUGGUCAAGCGGUUAAGACACCGCCCUUUCACGGCGGUAACACGGGUUCGAAUCCCGUACGGGUCAC